This 71-nucleotide transfer RNA is filed under the name Bos taurus (domestic cattle). It matches the Rfam family "tRNA". From Rfam's summary of the family: Transfer RNA (tRNA) molecules are approximately 80 nucleotides in length. Their secondary structure includes four short double-helical elements and three loops (D, anti-codon, and T loops). RNAcentral also lists the same sequence under 2 other names. The record is from Rfam by way of RNAcentral. Lineage: Eukaryota; Metazoa; Chordata; Mammalia; Artiodactyla; Bovidae.
UCCCUGGUGGCUCAAUGGUAAAGAACCCACCUGCAAUGUGGGAGACCUGGUUUCAAUUCCCAGGUUGGGAA